Molecule: ribosomal RNA, 498 nt
Filed under: Pseudocercospora crystallina
Lineage: Eukaryota; Fungi; Ascomycota; Dothideomycetes; Mycosphaerellales; Mycosphaerellaceae
Description: eukaryotic LSU rRNA
Rfam family: 5.8S ribosomal RNA (bases 176-329)
Source: RNAcentral
UCCGUAGGUGAACCUGCGGAGGGAUCAUUACUGAGUGAGGGCUUCGGUCCGACCUCCAACCCUUUGUGAACCAAACUUGUUGCUUCGGGGGCGACCCUGCCGCUUCGGCGGUGCGGCGCCCCCGGAGGCCAUUAAACACUGCAUCAUUGCGUCGGAGUUAAAGUAAAUUAAACAAAACUUUCAACAACGGAUCUCUUGGUUCCAGCAUCGAUGAAGAACGCAGCGAAAUGCGAUAAGUAAUGUGAAUUGCAGAAUUCAGUGAAUCAUCGAAUCUUUGAACGCACAUUGCGCCCCCUGGUAUUCCGGGGGGCAUGCCUGUUCGAGCGUCAUUUCACCACUCAAGCCUGGCUUGGUAUUGGGCGUCGCGGCUCCGCGCGCCUUAAAGUCUUCCGGCUGAGCUGUCCGUCUCUAAGCGUUGUGGCAACUAUUCGCUUCGGAGGUCGGGUGGCCGCGGCCGUUAAAUCUUUCACAAGGUUGACCUCGGAUCAGGUAGGGAUA